This is an RNA transcript of Pangasianodon hypophthalmus (striped catfish), 2121 nucleotides long. It is a transcript of the gene named prostaglandin E synthase 3 like, with no coding region annotated. The record is from RefSeq and is a predicted model, not a curated record. The transcript is spliced from 7 exons. Lineage: Eukaryota; Metazoa; Chordata; Actinopteri; Siluriformes; Pangasiidae.
UUUUGACUCAGAGUCGGUUCGGAGUCGCCAUCACUAGCCCUUAACACCUGACUGAAAAUGUUCGCUCCUAGCUAACCGACUUUAACGUUACACUGGAUUCCAAACAGACUUAGACACUCUCCAGAAACAUUAACAAGUAUACAUUUAGUGGGUGCCUGAAACCUCGCUGCUGUUUGAGGGGGUUGAGGAACCUGGUGUGAAAACAUUUGCCCCCAUGCACACACACACACACACACACCAUUCACAGACGAAGAAGGAAAAUGCUGUGGUUUUCCCGAGUGUUCCACUCAGGCCUUUAAAUGGGAUUGGGGUGGAGGGGCGAAGAAGGCACCACUAGCAGCUGAUACUGUCCAUCCUAAAAUAGCCCAGAUCACUGAGCUACACUUCACAUACACACUGCACUCACUGGGGACACAGAGUUUGCAAAAGCUCUGAGAAUUAUACUGGAUUAUAUGUUAAGAAUCCAACGUUUCUACUACAAAGGAGAACUCUGAAGACUCAAGAUGCCAAAGAUUGUCAGACCGGAUAACUGUCAACCAGCAAAAACACUGUGGUUUGACCGCAAAAAGUACAUUACUAUAAACUUCCAGGUUCAGAAAGCGACAAAUGUUCAGGUCGACAUCCAGGACACCAAAAUGAUCCUAAGCUGCAAAGAUGACGAUGACAACAACAUCUAUAAUGAGAUCGAAUUUUAUGAUCGAGUGCACAAAUGUGAUUCCAGGGAGAAGGUACAUGACCGGACCAUUAAUGUUCUGAUUAGGAAAAUGAAGGACAAUGUAGCCUGGCCUCGUCUCACUAAAGACAUAGCUAAGCCAGCUUGGCUAUCAGUAGACUUCGAUAACUGGAGAGACUGGGAACAUGAGGAGGAAGAUGGCCAGGCCGAGUUUGAACAGUACAUGGAUGUGAGUACACUUCUUCUUCACUGCUUGCACUUCAGCUUUCUUUGUACAAACUUAAAUUUAUUAGCUUUGGAGAUGUUUUAUCUAAAGCAGUUUAUAAGGAAGCAGAAUACAAUCCAAACCACAAACCUGGCACAAAAGAGCACACAUGAUUUAUGUCUUGAAUCUCAGGACAUAGCAAGAUAAAUAGUGCAUUGCAUAUGUGUUAAUUAUACACAAUCUGUUUUUUUUUUUUUUUAAAUAUAGAUGCUGUCUGAUAUGAAACAGAAAGGAGAGCCACCCAGCAUGGAUGACCUUGACCUUGAUAGUGACUGAGUGACUCCGUCUUCCCAAGGUAAAUCUUUAGUCUGACAAAAUCUCAAAAUCUUUUUAAAGUCUAAUACAUUUUUUAAAUUACAUAUUCUUUUUGAUCCUUACAGAUUGUUUUUCAUUCUCCCCAAGGCUCUGGAAAAUAGCUCAUUGAAAGUACAUGUAUUAUGUAAGGAAUAAAACACUUUUGAGAUGUGCUGUUAUAGAAACAUAAUCAACAACAUGUAAUGUUACCACCUCACAGUUGAUUAUUUUCUGAUACCAGCAUGUCAUAAACUGUUUUAUCUUUCUUAUACCACAGCAAUUUGCUGAUAAACAUUUUCUUAAAUUAUUAAAGACUGUCACAUACUUUUUUAUCCAUUUAUAGUUACAUUUGAUGUUGUGGAACAUCCAUGAAACAAGUAAACAGUCAUUCCCUCUCUUUACCAGCAUUUCAUUAUUUUUGUCUCUUGAAGUUAAUAAGACAGAAACGCAGUUGUCAUGUUACCAAGAAACUACAAAGCAUAAAGUCUUAUGUACUUCGUCCUUCCUGAGGCAUAAAGCUUCAUAUUACAACUUUACUUCUGACUGUUACAUAGCCCAGACAUUGGAGACUCCUUCCAAAAAUGCAAAAUAAAACUUUCAAAAAUUAAUAACACAUUUUUAAUCUGGAAAGUCCAUCAUGCAACUCACGGUGUACAUUGUUACUGCAAUAUAUUAGAAUGAUCGCAUUAAUAUAAACCUGUAUAUAUAAACCAAUCAGGUUUGAGAAUUCAAAAGUGCUGUGGUAUAAUUGUUAUUAAAUAUUUUUGGUUAAUAGUAACUAAUCACUGUUGUUCAUAACUGGCCACUUUGUUAUUUAUAAGUUUUUUCUACAACAAUGUUUUGUAAAGACAUUCAACACCUAUUUGUGUAAUAAAUUUCUAUAAAGAAA